RNAcentral lists this ribosomal RNA (467 nucleotides) under uncultured bacterium. RNAcentral's name for it is "partial 16S ribosomal RNA". It matches the Rfam family "Bacterial small subunit ribosomal RNA", at positions 28 to 507 of the family's 1533-position model. The record is from RNAcentral.
GACGAACGCUGGCGGCGUGCUUAACACAUGCAAGUCGAACGGAAAGGCCCUGCUUUUGUGGGGUGCUCGAGUGGCGAACGGGUGAGUAACACGUGAGUAACCUGCCCUUGACUUUGGGAUAACUUCAGGAAACUGGGGCUAAUACCGGAUAGGAGCUCCUGCUGCAUGGUGGGGGUUGGAAAGUUUCGGCGGUUGGGGAUGGACUCGCGGCUUAUCAGCUUGUUGGUGGGGUAGUGGCUUACCAAGGCUUUGACGGGUAGCCGGCCUGAGAGGGUGACCGGCCACAUUGGGACUGAGAUACGGCCCAGACUCCUACGGGAGGCAGCAGUGGGGAAUAUUGCACAAUGGGCGGAAGCCUAAUGCAGCAACGCCGCGUGCGGGAUGACGGCCUUCGGGUUGUAAACCGCUUUCGCUGUGACGAAGCGUGAGUGACGGUAAUGGGUAAAGAAGCACCGGCUAACUACGUG